AGGCCAGUAGUUCAACUGGUAGAGCACCGGUCUCCAAAACCGGGGGUUGGGGGUUCGAUUCCCUCCUGGCCUGCCA
RNAcentral lists this transfer RNA (76 nucleotides) under Spongorhabdus nitratireducens. RNAcentral describes it as "tRNA-Trp". It matches the Rfam family "tRNA". Rfam says of the family: Transfer RNA (tRNA) molecules are approximately 80 nucleotides in length. The record is from RNAcentral. Lineage: Bacteria; Pseudomonadati; Pseudomonadota; Gammaproteobacteria; Oceanospirillales; Endozoicomonadaceae. RNAcentral also lists the same sequence under 1 other name.